UUUGGUCAUUUAGAGGAAGUAAAAGUCGUAACAAGGUUUCCGUAGGUGAACCUGCGGAAGGAUCAUUACCUAGAGUUGUAGGCUUUGCCUGCUAUCUCUUACCCAUGUCUUUUGAGUACCUUACGUUUCCUCGGCGGGUCCGCCCGCCGGUUGGACAUACCUAAACCCUUUGCAGUUGAAAUCAGCGUCUGAAAAAACUUAAUAGUUACAACUUUCAACAACGGAUCUCUUGGUUCUGGCAUCGAUGAAGAACGCAGCGAAAUGCGAUAAGUAGUGUGAAUUGCAGAAUUCAGUGAAUCACCGAAUCUUUGAACGCACAUUGCGCCCCUUGGUAUUCCAUGGGGCAUGCCUGUUCGAGCGUCAUUUGUACCUUCAAGCUCUGCUUGGUGUUGGGUGUUUGUCUCGUGUAGACUCGCCUCAAAACAAUUGGCAGCCGGCGUAUUGAUUUCGGAGCGCAGUACAUCUCGCGCUUUGCACUCAUAACGACGACGUCCAAAAGUACAUUUUUUUACGCUUGACCUCGGAUCAGGUAGGGAUACCCGCUGAACUUAAGCAUAUCAAUAAGCCGGAGGAAU
RNAcentral lists this ribosomal RNA (575 nucleotides) under Dothideomycetes sp. L28. RNAcentral describes it as "eukaryotic LSU rRNA". The stretch from base 210 to 363 matches the Rfam family "5.8S ribosomal RNA". The record is from RNAcentral. Lineage: Eukaryota; Fungi; Ascomycota; Dothideomycetes.